Trichosurus vulpecula (common brushtail) is the source of this 1649-nucleotide RNA transcript. It is a transcript of the gene named chromosome 9 C16orf90 homolog, with no coding region annotated. The record is from RefSeq and is a predicted model, not a curated record. Lineage: Eukaryota; Metazoa; Chordata; Mammalia; Diprotodontia; Phalangeridae. The transcript is spliced from 6 exons.
AGGAUAUUUUGAGAGGACCCAAGGUGUUGGAGCCCUGGCAGCUUCUCCAGCUAGCCACACUGGACCUCAAUGGAGGCUUUGGUCUGUGCUUUCUCUGAGCUGCGAAUAAGAGAAGAUGCAGUGAGCCUGACUUUGGGCUGCCCAGGCAGCGCCGACACUCCCCCCAACAUCUACGAGGGGGGCCUGGGGGCCCGGAGGCAGCAGUGCCCCAGCCCACCAGGCAGCAAGCCCAAGAACUUCCGUCUUCGUCACCUUCGAAGCCUGGCACUCUAUCUGCCCAGCAGCAUGCAACCUGCCGGCCAGUGCGAGAGCCACUGGCUGGGGAGGCUAAUGGCAGGGGGCUGCCUCCCACGGGUGGGGCCCCUGCUCAAGGGCGGGGCAUGGGCCCUCGAUCUUCCUGGCCCUCUGAGCUCUACCAGCCACCCCCUGGAUUCACCAGGUCCCCAACCACCCAGGGAGAACCUAGGGAGUACAGACACCCAAGGUCCCAGGCCUUUUUCCUCUUGUGACCUCCUUGUGACCUCCCAACCAUGGCCUGAGCAGAUCUGAGCCUAAGAGACCCAUAAUUCUUUCCCCUAGACCCCAGCUUCCAGCUCCAGCACCGACCCAACCAAGGGUGCCCUCUCCCAGCCCCGGCCACCCGAGGGCUCAGGCUUCAGGCCCAAGAGGUCUUGGGGAGCCUUAGAGGAGUCAACAUGUCCUAUGUGCAAGAGGACCCGGCCCGGGGCCCAGAAGAGGCCAUAGGGCGGUCCCAGGCAGCGGGGCUGGUUUCCCCAGCUCUGGGGGCAGGUGGAGGGAAUGGCCUGAGGCUACAGGUCCCCGGGAGAACAGCCUCCCUCCAGACUCUCCAAGAUCCCCCUGGCAAGCAGCCCUCCGGGAUGCCAAGACAGCUGAGGAAGUUCCCUCGGAGGGAAGUCCGACUGGGGUCUCAGGGAAGUGAGAGGAGAGGGAAGAGGUUCUCGCCUGAGGGUCGGAGAAAGGAGAAGCAGGGGCGGUGGUCCAAGCAGCCCGGGCACACAUUACAUACUCUAUUGCCUCGGAAAUGGUGUCGAAGGCAGAUAAUCCCAGUCAAGCAGGCCUGGGAACCAGCAGGUCCUACAUCUGAAUAAAGGGAGAGGCUUGGCUCCAGUUGGUCGGUCAAUGCUGGGGGCUCGGGCUUCCAUUGAUCCCCAAUAGGAAGAAGCUGCUGUGAAUGGGAAAGGGAAAAUCUGCUGCAACCUCUUCUUUAGCCACAUAUAUUAGCAACAAGCAAGCUGUGAGGUGAUGCCUGCAGGUGUCAUAUGCCAACACUCCAUCUACCCAGAAAAAGGGUCAAGUUAAAAGGAUAUGGGCAUUACUCCUCUCUGGAAUUCUACCUACCUUAAUUGGGGCUACUCAGCAGCUUCUGUGAACAAGGAUAUAUGGGGUGUCCUCCUGUCUCCAACUCUACCCUACCAACAUGGAUGGCCUGCUGGGCACCAGACUCUUGAGAGCUAUUUGAGUGAGGUGGGCUAACAGGAGUAAUACCCAAUGUGCCACCUUGGAAAUUAGUCUUCUUGCCAAGGACACUUGAAUUAGGUGGAAUUUGUAGCAAACUGUGUUGUAUGAGGUUCCUCUGUCUUCAAAUAUCUCCCCCACAUGCCUACUAAAGUGUCUUAAAUUCCAGCCUU